CUCUUCUAAAGUACAUUUUUACUCAUGUUGAUUCUUACUAAUUUUCAAAAUGUCAAAUAUAAUACAAAUUUUAAAUCCGGAGUUUGACAAUGCUGACCAACGACAUACUGGCAAUGAAGUCCGAGUUGAUAUAGGCAAUGAUAGCUCUAGACCAAGAACAAGAAAGGAGGAUGGACCAGUAAUAAGUGACCACAUUGAUAAAUGGAAUUUAUACCAAGCAUUGUUUGUGGAAUUUCUUGGUACAACAAUAUACGAAUUU
Molecule: long non-coding RNA, 259 nt
Filed under: Mytilus galloprovincialis (Mediterranean mussel)
Lineage: Eukaryota; Metazoa; Mollusca; Bivalvia; Mytilida; Mytilidae
Source: RNAcentral